AACGCACAUUGCGCCUCUAGUAACUUGGAGGCAUGCCUGUCUGAGCGUCAUUUAAAACCAUAAACUCAACUGGGUUUGUAUUGGGCAUCGCCUCUGGGCGUAGCUUGAAAGUCAUUGGUCUUAUACGCGGACGAGUUCCAUUAGGACAGGCCGUGUCUGGACUUUAAAUCUCUGACUUGACCUCAGAUCAGGUAGGACUACCGCCUGAACUUAA
RNAcentral lists this unclassified non-coding RNA (214 nucleotides) under uncultured fungus. Its description in RNAcentral is "partial contains 5.8S ribosomal RNA, internal transcribed spacer 2, and large subunit ribosomal RNA". The record is from RNAcentral. Lineage: Eukaryota; Fungi.